Molecule: unclassified non-coding RNA, 250 nt
Filed under: plant metagenome
Description: partial contains small subunit ribosomal RNA, internal transcribed spacer 1, and 5.8S ribosomal RNA
Rfam family: Eukaryotic small subunit ribosomal RNA (bases 1-53)
Source: RNAcentral
GAAGUAAAAGUCGUAACGAGGUCUCCGUAGGUGAACCUGCGGAGGGAUCAUUACAGAGUUCAUGCCCUACCGGGUAGAUCUCCCACCCUAUGUUAUUAUUACUUUGUUGCUUUGGCGGGCCGUUAGGCUCCGGCCCGACUACCGGCCCCGGCUGGUAAGCGCCCGCCAGAGGACCCAAAACCCUGAAUAUUAGUGUCGUCUGAGUACUAUAUAAUAGUUAAAACUUUCAACAACGGAUCUCUUGGUUCUG